AUUGUCAAGAGUUCUGGGCUGCUGUUUCUGAAGUGUGUUGCAAGGAUUCCAUUGGCUUCUGUCUUCCCUACAACAGCACCCCUGGUGUCCCUUCCACUAGUGCAUAUAUUGUUUUGGCUGCCCAGCAGAUAUAGAUUCUUCAGAGAACAAAAGUUACUGGUGUUCUACCUCACUUGUGGGACUCCUCCUUCCCUGAUAUAGUAGUUGGCACGAAUUCAUGUUCCUGGGUUCUGCCAUGUUACCACCAGCCCCACUGUACCAAGCUCUAGAUUAAGGAGUUGAGGGAAAGAAACCUUCUCUGUUCAGUUGUCGAUGGUGGUGGUGUCAACUGGAGUCUGGAGAUAUUUUAAUAGACAACUACAGCACUCAUCUUUUCUGGGUUGGCCCUUUAAGUAAAAGCUGUGAGUAGAAAUGAAAUGUUGCUGUAGAUAACUUAAUUGACUUUUACCAUUGCCUGCUUCCUCACCGCCUUCGAAGUACUCCAGGUUUCAGGGGAAAGGAGAAACUUCUCAUCAAUUUAUUGGAUACUGCCCUAGACCUUUAAAGCCCACGACAUCAGAGGUAGAUGUUCCAGUUGAAGCUGAACCAUCCUGCCAAUAUUCCCUUACAUUUUGUUGCUGUGUGACAGAUGGCAGCAGAGGGGCACUCUGACAAGAUGACAUCUGACAUGGAAGUGUGUGUGGAGCAAAGGUACCCCAUUGCUCAAGGAAAUUCAAGACCUGCCGUAAUUCUACAUCCUUGCUUGUUCGUGCACAUGUGAAUGUUUGAUUUUGCACUGCCCUACCUUGCUUUCCUGUUCUCCUAGUCUUGGUCAAAGACAUUGCAAGCAAACUCCAUUAGUGUUUAUCAGAAAUCACCUGGAACCAAGCAGCCUAUUCUGCUGUGUAUCUGGGUUAUGAACAGCCUGCAACAAUGAGCUCCCAAUUCCUUGCACUGCCUGUGCCGGGAGGUAUUGUAGCCUCUGUGUCUGCCAAAAGCCUUAGCUGUUACAGUCUUGCUGAGUUUUCUUGUUCAACAAUAACAGGAUAGGGAAAUAAAAACAAACAAACAGUAUUAAAGAAAUACCUGUAGUAGAAAACUGUUAUUGGAAUGGAGUUUUUCCUUUACAUUGUUUCCAUGAAUCUGGGAUAGUGAAGAGAAUGAUAUUAACAGCAGUAUAUACCACGAGCAUUACACAGAAUUCAUGAAACAGCACUGGAAAUGAAUUGCUAGUUAAAGGAACGUUUCUGAUGGUUUGGAUUAGAUUAAAACGGAAAUCAAGGUGUAUUUGUCAGAGUUGAAUUUGAGGCUUCUCAGAAGCUUUUUGACAGCAUUCUUUUCUGAGCUGUUUCUGUGAAUGACAUUCUUUAAACCCAAAUGAAAGUAUUUUGAGCUUAUGUGAGACAUUCGUAGCAUUAGUGGUACAGAGUAUUGUGAAUUUAAGCAGCUGUUUUGCGAAGUUAAAGAACUUGGCUAUUUCCCAAUACUUUUUUCACAGAGUUGAUGAGCUCAGCAUACCUUAUGGAUGGACUUCCAGCGAUAUUAAAUUUUGAUCCUUUUUAUUUUCCUUCUGUAAAUUAAGCCCAAUAAAAAUGUUUGAAACUG
RNAcentral lists this long non-coding RNA (1584 nucleotides) under Gallus gallus (chicken). RNAcentral describes it as "lncRNA (ENSGALG00010017483.1)". Lineage: Eukaryota; Metazoa; Chordata; Aves; Galliformes; Phasianidae. The record is from RNAcentral.